This 69-nucleotide transfer RNA is filed under the name Deflorita sp. ZJZ-2017. RNAcentral's name for it is "tRNA-Asn". Lineage: Eukaryota; Metazoa; Arthropoda; Insecta; Orthoptera; Tettigoniidae. The record is from RNAcentral.
UUAAUUGAAACCAAAAUAGAGGUAUAUUACUGUUAAUAAUAUCAUUGAAGAAUUCCUAUUCCAAUUAAG